Molecule: long non-coding RNA, 357 nt
Organism: Neltuma alba
Lineage: Eukaryota; Viridiplantae; Streptophyta; Magnoliopsida; Fabales; Fabaceae
Exons: 3
Source: RefSeq, a predicted model, not a curated record
CUUUCCUCCAAUAUAGCAUCUUCUGAAGAGAACAUGGAUCGCAUUGAGGGUGAGGGCAAGAAAAUCACACUUGAUCAACAAGCACUACAAAAAACAGACGCUGAUAUGCAUCUUGAUGAUUCACAAAAGAAUGCUGAAGCAAGUGUUGCAGAAACAUCAGAUAAAGUGGCAGUGUCAAUUCCAUCAACCGCUACUACUGAAACGAGCUCUCCAUUGGUAAAUAACUACUCUUUUCAUUUACCCUCGUGUGAUUGUUGCACUAUUGAUACUCUACUAUUUUUGGUUGAAAUUAAUUUUUCUAUUUUUCUGGUUUUAGAUCCCUUCAAUUUCUACUCCCAUGAAGCCUCAAAUAGCAAC